AGUGAACGCUGGCGGUAGGCCUAACACAUGCAAGUCGAACGGCAGCACAGUAAGAGCUUGCUCUUACGGGUGGCGAGUGGCGGACGGGUGAGGAAUACAUCGGAAUCUACUUUUUCGUGGGGGAUAACGUAGGGAAACUUACGCUAAUACCGCAUACGACCUACGGGUGAAAGCAGUGGAUCUUCGGACCUUGCGCGAUUGAAUGAGCCGAUGUCGGAUUAGCUAGUUGGCGGGGUAAAUGCCCACCAAGGCGACGAUCCGUAGCUGGUCUGAGAGGAUGAUCAGCCACACUGGAACUGAGACACGGUCCAGACUCCUACGGGAGGCAGCAGUGGGGAAUAUUGGACAAUGGGCGCAAGCCUGAUCCAGCCAUACCGCGUGGGUGAAGAAGGCCUUCGGGUUGUAAAGCCCUUUUGUUGGGAAAGAAAAGCAGCAGGUUAAUACCCCGCUGUUCUGACGGUACCCAAAGAAUAAGCACCGGCUAACUUCGUG
RNAcentral lists this ribosomal RNA (492 nucleotides) under uncultured bacterium. Its description in RNAcentral is "partial 16S ribosomal RNA". It matches the Rfam family "Bacterial small subunit ribosomal RNA", at positions 29 to 507 of the family's 1533-position model. The record is from RNAcentral.